CAGCAGCCACGGUAAUACGUAGGGUGCAAGCGUUAAUCGGAAUUACUGGGCGUAAAGCGUGCGCAGGCGGUUUGUUAAGACAGAUGUGAAAUCCCCGGGCUCAACCUGGGAACUGCAUUUGUGACUGGCAGGCUAGAGUAUGGCAGAGGGGGGUGGAAUUCCGCGUGUAGCAGUGAAAUGCGUAGAUAUGCGGAGGAACACCGAUGGCGAAGGCAGCCCCCUGGGCCAAUACUGACGCUCAUGCACGAAAGCGUGGGGAGCAAACAGGAUUAGAUACCCGAGUAGUCCCUGUCUCUUAUAC
Molecule: ribosomal RNA, 301 nt
Filed under: uncultured bacterium
Lineage: Bacteria
Description: partial 16S ribosomal RNA
Rfam family: Bacterial small subunit ribosomal RNA
Source: RNAcentral